RNAcentral lists this ribosomal RNA (377 nucleotides) under uncultured bacterium. RNAcentral's name for it is "bacterial SSU rRNA". It matches the Rfam family "Bacterial small subunit ribosomal RNA", at positions 521 to 896 of the family's 1533-position model. The record is from RNAcentral.
UAAUACGGGGGGGACUAGCGUUGUUCGGAUUUACUGGGCGUAAAGGGUGCGUAGGCGGACUUUCAAGUCGGAUGUGAAAUCUGGUGGCUUAACUGCCAGUCUGCACUCGAUACUGUUAGUCUUGAGUACAGGAGGGGAGAGUGGAAUUCCAGGUGUAGCGGUGGAAUGCGUAGAUAUCUGGAAGAACACCCGUAGCGAAGGCGACUCUCUGGACUGAUACUGACGCUAAAGCACGAAGGCUAGGGUAGCAAACAGGAUUAGAUACCCUGGUAGUCCUAGCGGUAAACGAUGGGCACUAGGUGUCGGGGGUAUCGACCCCCUCGGUGCCGCAGUUAACGCAGUAAGUGCCCCGCCUGGGGAGUACGAUCGCAAGGUUG